AUUGAACGCUGGCGGCAGGCCUAACACAUGCAAGUCGAACGGUAACAGGAAGAAGCUUGCUUCUUUGCUGACGAGUGGCGGACGGGUGAGUAAUGUCUGGGAAACUGCCUGAUGGAGGGGGAUAACUACUGGAAACGGUAGCUAAUACCGCAUAACGUCGCAAGACCAAAGAGGGGGACCUUCGGGCCUCUUGCCAUCGGAUGUGCCCAGAUGGGAUUAGCUAGUAGGUGGGGUAACGGCUCACCUAGGCGACGAUCCCUAGCUGGUCUGAGAGGAUGACCAGCCACACUGGAACUGAGACACGGUCCAGGCUCCUACGGGAGGCAGCAGUGGGGAAUAUUGCACAAUAGGCGCAAGCCUGAUGCAGCCAUGCCGCGUGUAUGAAGAAGGCCUUCGGGUUGUAAAGUACUUUCAGCGGGGAGGAAGGGAGUAAAGUUAAUACCUUUGCUCAUUGACGUUACCCGCAGAAGAAGCACCGGCUAACUCCGUG
This 490-nucleotide ribosomal RNA is filed under the name uncultured bacterium. RNAcentral describes it as "partial 16S ribosomal RNA". It matches the Rfam family "Bacterial small subunit ribosomal RNA", at positions 30 to 507 of the family's 1533-position model. The record is from RNAcentral.